AGAGCGAACGCUGGCGGCAGGCUUAACACAUGCAAGUCGAGCGGGCGUAGCAAUACGUCAGCGGCAGACGGGUGAGUAACGCGUGGGAACAUACCUUUUGGUUCGGAACAACACAGGGAAACUUGUGCUAAUACCGGAUAAGCCCUUACGGGGAAAGAUUUAUCGCCGAAAGAUUGGCCCGCGUCUGAUUAGCUAGUUGGUGAGGUAACGGCUCACCAAGGCGACGAUCAGUAGCUGGUCUGAGAGGAUGAUCAGCCACAUUGGGACUGAGACACGGCCCAAAACUCCUACGGGAGGCAGCAGUGGGGAAUAUUGGACAAUGGGCGCAAGCCUGAUCCAGCCAUGCCGCGUGAGUGAUGAAGGCCCUAGGUUGUAAAGCUCUUUUGUGCGGGAAGAUAAUGACGGUACCGCAAAGAAUAAGCCCGGCUAACUUCGCGCCAGCAGCCGC
Molecule: ribosomal RNA, 448 nt
Filed under: uncultured bacterium
Lineage: Bacteria
Description: SSU rRNA
Rfam family: Bacterial small subunit ribosomal RNA
Source: RNAcentral